Molecule: non-coding RNA, 30 nt
Filed under: Rattus norvegicus (Norway rat)
Lineage: Eukaryota; Metazoa; Chordata; Mammalia; Rodentia; Muridae
Source: RNAcentral
UCCCAAUGGUCGCUUCUCUCUGAAAAUGCC